Small nucleolar RNA from Clarias gariepinus (North African catfish), 88 nucleotides. RefSeq annotates it as small nucleolar RNA SNORD60. NCBI's taxonomy places the organism in Eukaryota, Metazoa, Chordata, Actinopteri, Siluriformes, Clariidae. The record is from RefSeq and is a predicted model, not a curated record. The transcript has a single exon.
AACCGAUGAUGACUCCUUUUACAUUUUUCUGACACCUCGUAUGAACACUGCUCAGCAGUGCCUGAUUAUACAUUACACUCUGAGGUUC